AAUCUGAAGCUUUUCAAGCAGAGUAAACACUCAAAGCGCUGGUUGGAGUUGCCAAGAGCAUGGCCCUUGUGAGCCCCGUUCUGGAGGCCUGCUCGUCCUGACUUUCACUGUGACCUUGACAAAGCACCAGGAAUCACCAGCAACAACUUUUGUAUGCCAGGAAAAUAGGAUGCCUGCCCGACCUAUGAAAUGCUGUGAACCCAAACGGAUCUUUACUCUGGAUCUUACCUGCCUCACGAUUUUAGGCUCCAACGUUAAAAUGUAGUAUUACCACUGCAGGUAGUACUUCUAUUUAAAAGACAGGCUACGGGGAGCCUGGGUGGCUCAGUGGUUAAGUGUCUGCUUUCGGGUCAGGUCAUGAUCUCAGCGUCCUGGGUUGGAGCCCCAGGUCCGGCUCCCUGCUCAGUGGAGAGUCGGCUUCUCCCUGCCCCUCUCCCCCUACCCCCAACUUGUGUGCUCUCUCUCAAAUAAAGAAAAUCUUUUUUAAAAAGGAAAAAAAUAAAAGAUAGGAUGCACUGGACAUUGUCACAAG
Lutra lutra (Eurasian river otter) is the source of this 532-nucleotide long non-coding RNA. RefSeq lists it as uncharacterized. NCBI's taxonomy places the organism in Eukaryota, Metazoa, Chordata, Mammalia, Carnivora, Mustelidae. The record is from RefSeq and is a predicted model, not a curated record. The transcript has 2 exons.